GACGAACGCUGGCGGCGUGCUUAACACAUGCAAGUCGAGCGGUAAGGCCCUUUCGGGGGUACACGAGCGGCGAACGGGUGAGUAACACGUGGGUGACCUGCCCUCAGCUCUGGGAUAAGCCUGGGAAACCGGGUCUAAUACCGGAUAUGACUCCAUGACGCAUGUUGUGGGGUGGAAAGCCUUGCGCGGCUGAGGAUGGGCCCGCGGCCUAUCAGCUUGUUGGUGGGGUGAUGGCCACCAAGGCGACGACGGGUAGCCGGCCUGAGAGGGCGACCAGCCACACUGGGACUGAGACACGGCCCAGACUCCUACGGGAGGCAGCAGUGGGGAAUCUUGCGCAAUGGGCGAAAGCCUGACGCAGCGACGCCGCGUGAGGGAUGACGGCCU
Molecule: ribosomal RNA, 387 nt
Filed under: uncultured bacterium
Lineage: Bacteria
Description: bacterial SSU rRNA
Rfam family: Bacterial small subunit ribosomal RNA
Source: RNAcentral